RNAcentral lists this long non-coding RNA (467 nucleotides) under Solanum tuberosum (potato). RNAcentral's name for it is "long non-coding RNA (STUB_LNC010543)". Lineage: Eukaryota; Viridiplantae; Streptophyta; Magnoliopsida; Solanales; Solanaceae. The record is from RNAcentral.
GAUCUUUUGAAGAUUUAGCAGCUCAAUCUUUUUCAACCUUCUAUAACAAUGCUCAAGUGUGAGUUAGUGAUUGACCUCCAUCACCUGACAAAAAAGUAAUAGCAUCACAAGAAAAGAUCGCGUUGAAGUUGGUUAUAAGCGAAUUUCGUCCUCUGAAUAGAUAGCUAAAUAAUCAUUUGGCAAAGGUAGUUCUUAAAUGUUCACUUCUUUUCCCUUCUAUCUUUGUCUACAUUCUUUGUUUCCGGGCAGGGGGUGAAGGACAUAAGAGAAGAUUUUUCCUAUAGGUAAGGAAGAGGCGAAAAAGGAGCAUUAGUCACUAAGCCCAUGGACGAAGACAAUGAUAUCAGUUCCAUUUUUGAUGUUGGGAAAGCACCAACUGCUCAUAGUGGAAUGUCCAGAUAUAUAUGCAGCUGCAGGGGCAACUCUUGCUUAGUCACCUCCCUUUGCCCCCUCAGCUAAACUCCCAU